This 27-nucleotide non-coding RNA is filed under the name Mus musculus (house mouse). Lineage: Eukaryota; Metazoa; Chordata; Mammalia; Rodentia; Muridae. The record is from RNAcentral.
UCAGUGCCCUUUUUCUUUACAGUAAGC